AAUAGUUCCUUGACUAUAACUUUUUCCAUAAUUUUACAGCAUGUCGACGGGAGACUUACAGGUCUAUAGUUAGCAGGAUCAAGUUUAUCUCCUGACUUGUACAAAGGCGUGAUUGUUGCUUGCAACCACUCGUAGGGCAAAGUGCCUUGUAAGAAUGAUUUUGUCAUCAUUUUGGCAAGUGGGCCCGACAACGAAGCAGCACAAGUUCUCAGGAGUUUGGGAGGUAUCUGAUCCGGACCUGGAGCUGUAUUUAAUUUAAUGGCACAGAGUUGGCUUUUUACCAGAUCCGGAGUAAAAUUAAUAUAAGACAACCCACUAAAUGUAGCAGCAAAACUGUCCGCUAAAGUGUUUGCAGUUUCUGUAUGAUCGGAGCAGAGUAGACCUGAAGCAUUUCGUACUAAAGGGACCGACACACGACUAGAGAUAAAUUUACGUACAUGGGAAUAAAAUAGUUUUGGUUUAUUUAAUAUAGAAUUUUCAUAAUUACACCUGGCUAUUUGUAAAUCAGAUUUUAGUUGGUUAGAAAAUCUUUUAUAAGCAGAAAAAUUAUCUUCAGUAGGCUUCCUUUUAAAUUUUUUCCAUAAUUUAGCUUUGUAUUUUAUUUUGUCAAGCAUGUGUUGAUUUAUCCACGGUUUAUCUUUUCUCAGUCGGUUUGUAAACAGUCUGGAAUUUGUUGUAAUGCAAGUUUGUAAAAUCGAUUUAAAAUGUUUCCAUUGUUCUUCCGCAUUUAGUGAAUCUAAACCAUUCCAGUCGUAAGUCAAGAGACUUUCGUCUAUGCGAGUGUAGUCAACAAUUGAUGUUGUUUUAAUUCUUGCAUUUGGCUCUGAAUAUAUCAUAAUUUGUAACUCAAUUUCGAUUUUUGAAUGAUCAGAUGUACCUACAGGAUUCGAAACGUUUAAAGACGAUACAAGGUUAACGUCAGACAAAAUUACCAAAUCAAGUAAUGAAGGACGUUGUUGGGAUCUAAAUCGUGUAGGUUCAGUGACUAUUUGUGACAAAUUAUUCUCCAAGAGCAAUUCAGAAAAUUGUUUUUCGAUGAUUGUUUGACCUGUUGUGUUUUUAGCAGACCAGUCUAUACAUGGAAAAUUGAAAUCUCCCAUGAUAAUUAAGUUAGGAUACUGAUUAAUAGUUGAUUGUAUGGUAUUAAAUAGAUUUUUAUCAUUUUCGUGAUUGUUAAAAGACGCUCCUGUUGGUGGUCUGUAAAUACAUGCUAUAACAAAGGUUUGUUCAUUUCCUUCAAAUUUUAACCAUAGAGAAUCAUAAGGUUUAACAGAUAUGCAAAUUUGAGUAAUUUUAAAAAAUUUUGAAAUUUUAAUUUUAUCUACAUAAAAACACACACCGCCACCUUUUUGAGAUAGGCGAUCAUCUCUGUAAAUAGAGUAAUUUUCAAUGUGUACAGCAUCAUCAGAGAUAGACGGAUUAAGCCAAGUCUCCGUGAGUGCGAUAAUAGAAGGUCUAAAUUCAGUUACUUCUAAUAACAAAUCAUUAAAUUUUGAAGAUAAAGAUGCGAUAUUCGUAUACAGAAGAGCCAUUGAACAAGGUAAUUUCCAGAGGAAACAACAACAACCACAUACACCCAGAUAUCAAAUUCAACAAUCAACACCAAGAAUCAACCACUGAAAAUGAAUCCCAAAGGCAAGAGCACGCAGAGACACGACUGCAC
Tribolium castaneum (red flour beetle) is the source of this 1663-nucleotide long non-coding RNA. RefSeq lists it as uncharacterized. NCBI's taxonomy places the organism in Eukaryota, Metazoa, Arthropoda, Insecta, Coleoptera, Tenebrionidae. The record is from RefSeq and is a predicted model, not a curated record. The transcript is spliced from 3 exons.